This is a long non-coding RNA of Sitophilus oryzae (rice weevil), 614 nucleotides long. RefSeq lists it as uncharacterized. NCBI's taxonomy places the organism in Eukaryota, Metazoa, Arthropoda, Insecta, Coleoptera, Curculionidae. The transcript has 4 exons. The record is from RefSeq and is a predicted model, not a curated record.
AGAGUUUUUAUGGCAAUAUGCACUUGGAUUUCAAGGAGUUAUUUGAAUGUAAUUUUCACCAAAGACUUCAUUGAGACAUUAGCUGUGUUCAAACAGUUUUCACCUUUAAAAGAUAAAGGAAAAACUUCUGUUUCUUCCUCAAUUACAAGAGUAUUGGAAAACUGUGGCGUCAAGAAUUUUUGUGGCAAUAUGCACUUGGAUUUCAAGGAGUUAUUUGAAUGGUAUUUGUAAACAGGGCGCUGCAAGUACUACCUUCACUGGGACAUUGGCUGUGUUCAAACUUCACUUUUAAAAGAUGUUUUCCUGAGUUCUCAACAUUAAAAAGAACAUUCUGUGGCAAUAUGCAGUUGAUUUUCAAUCAAAACUUAUUGGAAUGGAAUGUAUCAAGAGGUCAAUAAAGGUUGGUAAUGGUUUCGUAAAACUGCAGCUGUUAUUGGUACUGGUACUUCAUUUAACCUCCUGUAUAUUCCUCGUUGAAGAUAUGGAGCAGAACGAAGACUUAGGAUAGGAACACUUCAUUUUUAUUAAUCUCAUAAAGACUUGUGGAAAAUCAGAAAAUUUAAAGAAUUUUCUGAUUUUUUAUUCUAUUUUUUUGCUGUAAAAGUAAAAUUGUG